Non-coding RNA from Phoenix dactylifera (date palm), 3724 nucleotides. The record is from RefSeq and is a predicted model, not a curated record. NCBI's taxonomy places the organism in Eukaryota, Viridiplantae, Streptophyta, Magnoliopsida, Arecales, Arecaceae.
CUCAAACGGCGAGACCUUAUCUCUUAUCCGGUAUUGAAUGCCCUUCCUUAGAGAUGGCAUUCAAUACCUGAACUCCUCUUCCAUUUAUGGAACGUUUCUCCCCCAACCCCCUCGGUUCGACGACGGAGAAAGAGCAUUAGUUGUAGUUUUCACCCCAUCUUAACUACCAAGGGAUGAAAUCUUUCUCUGAGCAGGGAGGCGUCGCCCGAGGAACUAGCACCCUGCUUGACUGCUAAGGAGGAGAGCUUGGUAUUUCACUCUUUUUCGAAGAGGAGUCAGAAUGAAUCAUAUUUGGUUCUAUAAGUUGGACCAAACUCCAUUGGGGUGACGCAACCUACACUUGCACCUAGUUGGCACGCCCCCUCCCCACCCGGCCUCCUCUCCUUUUUCACUCCGGGGAGCAGUUCGAUUCGAGAGCUCCUCACCACAGCGAAGUUUUUGAAGAGAUCUUUGGAACAAGAGAUAUGGUGAUUUGACCCUGAAUCAAUCCACCAUCUUCUAAUUUCCUUGUCUAAAGAAAGGCACUAAGGUAGGGUUGCAGGAGUGUUUCUCUGAUUUCUCUAUCUUGUUCCACCACAAUCAUCUCAACAAAAAAUCCCAAUAUAUUUGCAGAUAAAUCAAUUUAAAUUUUAGACUUUAUUAACAUCUCCUCAAGUACUAUGGAUGAUUAAUGGCUUCAAGGCAUCUAAUACGUUAACUUCUGCAUCUAGUUCAGUAUCCAUUCUUUGCAUAAUCGAAAGGUUUGAAUCUCUUUCCAUUUCAGCUGGGCUAAAUAAGUUUGGGUGUCAGCAAUUAAGCUAGUUUUAGUUUGAAUAUUGGUCCUAAAAAAUUAGUAAAAGGUAAAAAUUAAAAUCAUAUAAAUAAAAGGGAGACAAGCAUAUCAGUAUCAUUUUUACAUUGUGUAGUAUGAAACCAUUGGGUACAUCAUAUAGAGUUUCAAUGUUUGACAACUGUUAGAAUCUACUAAAAGAACUGUUAAAGAAUAACUCAGAAUUUAAAGAAAAAUAAUGAGGGCAAAAGGAACAGUUAGAAAAAUAGAUUAGGUACCUGGUGACCCAAUGCAUAUCUGCUUUCAAAUCAAGUCAAAAGACACAUAUUAAAAGUUUAAUCUUGUCAUAAUGCUUUCUGGAGUCUCAAUAUAUCACCCAGGACUAAGUUUAGCUCAAAAUUAAGUCCUGUUAACUUUGUUAAUUACGGUCUGAACUGACUGAAGGACAGAAAUUGAUUAGUCCCAGCCAGUAUUGGUGGUAGUUGCCAAAACUGCCUAAAUUCAAGCGGUAUGUGUCAGUUUCUUACAAAAUGUUUUAAAAGAUAAAUAACUCAAAACUUCAGAGGUACAAGAGUAAAGCAUGACACUAUAUGGCCUUUUCUCUGGUGGUCUCUAUGAUUAUAUUUGUUUUUAAUAUAAAUAAAUAACAAGGUCAUUAAGGAAAUGAGUUCAAUUCUAUUCCUAGUGUAUUUUAUGAGAUAUAUUUUGUGAACAAGGUGAUUGCUAAUUGGAUACAUAUGAUAUUUUUUACAGCCCAUGCUAAAUUUAUUGCAGACAAACCCCUUAUGGUAUGCAGUAGUUGGAAUGUUCUUUUGUGCUAUUUGAAGAUUCAUCGGCAACUACAAGUUUGAGAGAAAUGCACAAUCUGUAUUUAAAACUCUUAAUUCUAGCACCAAAAGAUUAUCGAGUAUUUCUUUUGAAGUCCAUUUACUUCUAUUUUUCUAUCUGAACAUGAUUUUAUUUCUUAUGUUAGAUUGCUUGUUAACCCAAUCACUAAUUUAACGUGUUAUCUAAUGAAUAGCCAAUAAAUUUAAAACUACAGUGGCUAGUAAUUAGGAACGUUUAACUACUGAGAUCCUUUCAAACUUGUGCAGUCUUCUCGAUAGUGAAGUUAGACAUUUGUGGGUUUUCACAACUGGUUUUGGUGUCAUAUAAUUUUUCGUUUGUCUUUUCAUGCUAAUAAAUUUAUUUGUUUUCAAGGAAAAAAGAAUGUUAUGAUUUUUGUUUUAUACUACAAAAGAAUAUUAGUUUCUUGUUCAAUACAUUACAGAAAUAAAUAUUAACUUUAUAAAACAUGAAAGGAAGGUUGAUAAAUUUACAUCUCAUCUGCUUUGGACAGCUUGAGCUAUAACAUGUAAUAUAUGUUCCGUCAGUUUACUAAGCAUAUUGUUCUGUUCCCUUUUUUUUAUUCUUUUCUAAGUAUUUAUUAUAGUUUCGUUAUUGGCAAUUUAGAAGUACUUAAUUUGAUGCCAAACAAAGUGAUAUGCAAAUGCAUCAUCACUUUUGUAACAUCAAAUAUUUUGCCAGUAAGUGGCAGCUUAUUUGCUGAAGAAAGACAAAAAAGAUCUUAUGUCUUUUCUGAAGCAUUCAUUUUGCACAAAAAUAAAAUUAAAAAAAAACAAAGAAAACAGGGUGCCUCUUCCAAUCUUACUGUGUGUAUCAUAGUUCACUUUUAUUAGCUUGAGGACUUCCGAUAUUUCUUGCACCAAAUAAUGUUCAGUUUGUACAUGCAAAAACAUUGUUUUACUACAUUCAGUGGUGCACAUGAUAUCAGGUUGAUCGGACACUUAUCAUCCACAUCCAAUUCAUUAAACUGGUAUUGGAACAUUCAAGCUUACAAUUAACUCAUAAUAGGAGAAAUUGUAGGGAUCAAGGUUCUCAAUCUCAAUAUCGGACCACGUAUGGGCACCAUCUUGAUACAGUAUUGAUACACCCAAUAUGGGGGGUCAGUUCAACGUACUGAUACUUAGUAUGCCUCUCAUACCAUGUACUGGUUUGGUGCUACUAUGGUACGGUACGUCCAGUAUGGAUCAAUAUAGUCCACUGUAUUUCAUUUUUUUUUUUUGUUUUUCUGCUUGAAGAAACAGUGCCUUUGGCUUUGGUACAGUAGGAGGUAUGGAAUCUCAAGAAACUAGCAAUGAUAUACAAUAAAGGCCGAGCAUCACCAUUAAGGAGCAAGGGUAGCUGCACAGGAAUAUCAUCACCAGCCCAGAGAAUCAGAGGAUCGUCACUUACAGCAACUAGUCUGCAGCUGAUUGGCUUCACCAUAAAUGUGGGAGUCUCGAAAGCAAUUAAAGGUUGAAGCCAAGUGCAGCAGAUCAUGAAGGAGAGGAUGGAUCUAUCUGGAGUCUUUUGUACACUAGUGGAAUCACCCUCAAUCCAUAUAUCACGCCCUAUGUGAGAACCUACUCUUCAAUUGUAAGAAAUCCAAAAUAAAAUACAGGUGGUUGGGGAUCAGGUCUUAUGUUUGAAUCGAGAUUGGACAAAAUAUGUUUGACAAAGUCCAGACCUACUCUGCUUAGUCUGGAGGUGAUAUGCUGCAAGUGUAAAGAAAGAGCAUCUGCCAUCCAGAUCAACAUUGAAUAGAAAAUCUUGACUGAAUCGUAGACAACCCAUCUCUGAUUAGGCACUACGCAGAUGAAGUGAUCUCCAGAAUAGCUAGAAGGCCUUUUUGUUGGCAUACUAUUUUUUUAAUUAUUAUGGUUUGUAAAACUGCAGAUAGCAGCAGUGACAAGAAGAUCUGGUCAUGCAUAAACCUUGAUCAGCAAUUGCAGAUAAAUUGGUGGAGUUAAUGGAUACUUAUUGUAUUGUCAAUUUGCAAUGAGUUGCUACCAAGAAUCCUAUCGAUGCAUUAUUCUUUCUAUAUGAAUCAAAAAUGUAAUACAUAUGCUGCCUGCAGAUAUUUAUGGUUAUUGAUUUCAGUAUCUGUAAUUAAGGAUGUUUCGUGAAGCAGAA